UUUUUUUUUUUUUUUUUUAAAUAUCUACCAACAUUUUAGAAGUCUUUUAUGUAGUAUUAGCAAUUGGUUUUUGUAGAUCUACAUAAUUUUAUGAUAUUUUGUUUAUUGCUAGAAUUAUGUCAGACUUAUUUAUUUUUCUGUUUAAGAGAGUCAAUUACUAGUAGGCUGGAAAACGCUAAGACUUUCCAAAAACAAAAAGGAGUUUCUGUUUCAAUGCUUAACUUAAGUGUACAGAAUUUGACAAAUGUGAUUAGUAUUGUCAUGUUAUCAACUUGUUAUCAUUUAGUUUAUGAUUAUUACAAAAGUAUAUAUAAAACCCUUUACCAGCUACCCCAGCAAAUAUGUAUUGUUACAUAUAUAUAUUUCAAAUGAAGAUAUCUAGCUAGCAAUGGUUUUGGUUGUCUCUAGACAAACCAAAUAUAAGCAAAACAAUCAUUAGUGUGUAUGUCAUACUAUACAGUCAUGUCAUUAUCAUAGCAACGUUAUCCUAACAUAUCUUGACAUUUGUGUACAAGACAUUUGCCUUGAUACAUUUUCGCGCUAAAAAAAAAAAGUUUAAAUGUUGAGACAAACAACCCACAUUUUAUGGUUUGUUGAAAUUGUCUUUUUCUAUUUAAAACAGAUUACUAACUCAAAUGUUUAUUUUAUAUGAAAAGUCCAAAACAUCUGCUUUAAAAAUUUGAGUUGAAACGUAUUUGUAAAGGAUUGAGCGCUUGAAAAGUAACAUUGUUGAUUUGUAUUGCAACUUUCCUGAUACUUGUACAACAUUUCAAUAAGUAUUCGAAGUACUUCAUUAUACGGAUAAAAAUGUUUCAAAAAUGUGAAAUGGAUCUUUUUCAAAGCUUAUACCAACUCACUCUGUCUGUCUGUUUGUCUGUCUAUCUGUCUGUCUGGUAAAAAGUGUCUACACGUUAUUUCUCCCACACCCAUUCUCGGAUCAAGUUGAAAAUUCACACAUUUAUUCAUUGGCAUAGAUAAGACAUAAAUCAGUUUAAACAAUAUCCAAUAAGUCAAUUAAUUAUCAAUAAUUAAUUUUGUUUGAUAUCAAAUAAGGGAAAGAACUUGUACUGUAUUGAUAUAGUUAUAAGGGCGGAGUCCUUCCCCUUUAGAUAAGCUAUGUUUAUUUUAAAAAAGGAUGUUUAAAUAUUUUGCUUGUUUAAAGUAGUGAAAUGAAAAAGAAAAACAAAAACUAAGCAAUGCAAUGAAGUGAAUGUUCUCUUCCUCCUAGCCAGGUAAUCCGCGUCACUGAUCCUAUGCUCCCUUGGGAGAGCACAGGAUUAAGUCAACUGGAUCAUCAAAUCAUCGCCACUGUAUAUUGCAUGCAAGCCAAUGGGUUGAUCCGCUAUUCUCUUAACACAUAAGUUCUCUGACAUAAAAAAAGGUCACACACUUUUCUGUACUUGCUACCUUGCGCUGUACUUGCUACCUUGCGCUGUGCUUUUCUUUCUAAUGGUUUCAUGGUAUCGCAUUCUCACGAUUGAUUUGUUCUUAUUAAAUGGGCUAUAAUACAAUUUGAACUGGAAACCAGUUUGCUAGCGAAUGCACUUCUGACACCAUUUUAAAAGCCUAAAAACAAAUGUAAACAUCAACAGUUUCCUGUCUGAAAUUCUGACGUGAGCUUUUAAGACUUUACACCACAAACGAAGUUUAUUAUGUCCUAGACAAGUCUCAUGCACGAAAGCUGGGGACCUUCCGAAAAAAACAUACCGCACGAAUCGUACCUUUAAAAUGACAUCCAAGCAACUUUUUUGAAAAUAAGACUAAAAUUUUAUACUGGCAUCAACCAAAUUAUGUUUUUCUUUAUUCUUAGCUAAAUUCAUAAUCAAUUUCUUUCAUGUAGGCUAUCAGCUUAUCAUUCAUAACCACAUCAUACAUGUAUUAUGUAUUUUUGUGAUCAAAAUACUAUUUCAACUUGUAUCCUCUAUUAUCGUCCCCCACCCUUUUUUUUCUUCAGUAUUAGUUGAAGAGUCAAAUAGUAUUUAAGAUUUAUGUCAAAAAAUUAAAAAGUGAACAAAAAAU
This is a non-coding RNA of Biomphalaria pfeifferi, 2019 nucleotides long. Lineage: Eukaryota; Metazoa; Mollusca; Gastropoda; Planorbidae. The record is from the annotation of a GenBank genome assembly.